RNAcentral lists this ribosomal RNA (484 nucleotides) under uncultured bacterium. RNAcentral's name for it is "partial 16S ribosomal RNA". It matches the Rfam family "Bacterial small subunit ribosomal RNA", at positions 30 to 507 of the family's 1533-position model. The record is from RNAcentral.
AUUGAACGCUGGCGGCAUGCUUUACACAUGCAAGUCGAACGGCAGCGCGGGCUUCGGCCUGGCGGCGAGUGGCGAACGGGUGAGUAAUACAUCGGAACGUGCCCAGUAGUGGGGGAUAGCUCGGCGAAAGCCGGAUUAAUACCGCAUACGACCUGCGGGUUAAAGCGGUGGUUCUUCCGACCUCUCGCUAUUUGAGCGGCCGAGGGCAGAUUAGCUAGGUGGUUGGGUAAAGGCCUACCCAGGCGACGAUCUGUAGCUGGUCUGAGAGGACGGACAGCCACACUGGGACUGAGACACGGCCCAGACUCCUACGGGAGGCAGCAGUGGGGAAUUUUGGGCAAUGGGCGAAAGCCUGAUCCAGCAAUGCGGCGUGUGUGAUGAAGGCCUUCGGGUUGUAAAGCACUUUUGGCGGGAAGGAAAAGAACUGUGCCAAUACCACGGUUCGAUGACGGUACCCGCAGAAUAAGCACCGGCUAACUACGUG